UACGUAGGGUGCAAGCGUUGUCCGGAAUUAUUGGGCGUAAAGAGCUCGUAGGCGGCUUGUCGCGUCUGCUGUGAAAACCCGAGGCUCAACCUCGGGCCUGCAGUGGGUACGGGCAGACUAGAGUGCGGUAGGGGAGAUUGGAAUUCCUGGUGUAGCGGCGGAAUGCGCAGAUAUCAGGAGGAACACCGAUGGCGAAGGCAGAUCUCUGGGCCGUAACUGACGCUGAGGAGCGAAAGCGUGGGGAGCGAACAGG
RNAcentral lists this ribosomal RNA (253 nucleotides) under uncultured bacterium. RNAcentral describes it as "partial 16S ribosomal RNA". It matches the Rfam family "Bacterial small subunit ribosomal RNA", at positions 524 to 776 of the family's 1533-position model. The record is from RNAcentral.